Molecule: long non-coding RNA, 636 nt
Filed under: Populus trichocarpa (black cottonwood)
Lineage: Eukaryota; Viridiplantae; Streptophyta; Magnoliopsida; Malpighiales; Salicaceae
Description: long non-coding RNA (PTRI_LNC004807)
Source: RNAcentral
GCCUUAAUCUUGAAAUCAAGCUCAUUUGGAAAGUUUUAAACUCCUACCUUCUCUACUUUAAUUGGCAAACAAAAAUCUACAAAGAACCCAUUUUUUUCAGCUUCUGCUUGACAAAAUAUAUGGCCUGAAAUCCCCACCAAAAAUAUAAUUAUAAACAGUAACAGAUAAAUAAUCCCCAAAGCACAAAGAACAAUAGCUGAAAUUUAAGACUGGAGAUGCAAAUGCUAAAGCUUUAACAGUCACACAGCAAGCAAUAGCUUUUAUUGCAGAAGAAAAAAAUGAAAUUUAUCAAUUUAUCAAUUCCCCAACAACCCCACAUAAUUUUUACAGGCAGAGAUUUAUGUAAAUUUUCAUGAACAGAAAGUUGUAUGUUAGCACAGACCACCUAAUUAGACGAAGUAUGAUCAUUGUUCAAUCAGAUUUUGCUGCAAUUAAGUAAUAACUCGUGUAGAUCCAGGGAGGAAGAGAGAGUACCUGAGAGUGAGAGGUUUUAAAACCCUAGUGAUUAGUGAAGUGCAGAGAGAGAGGGGGGGGGGAGGGGGUUUUGCAAGCAUACGUUGAGGAGCGGCUGAGGGGAGUUCUCGAGUUCGAAUCCUUUAAGCAGAAGUUCAAAAUUUCGGUCAAGUGUUAUUUGAC